ACAAAGGUACGCUCACUUGCUGUCUUGUUCUCUGCCGCGGACUGGGAUCGCUCGCCAGCUAGGCCCUCUAGAAAAAAGUUGGAGCAACAUUGUAUGAGAACAUAUUACCCAUCUUCGGGGACAAGGGGAGGAACGACCUCUCGAUCUACUUACUGCAGCCCAGGACGGGCGUCGUCGUCUAGGCGUGACUUCUUGUUUUGA
Molecule: ribosomal RNA, 201 nt
Filed under: Triticum aestivum (bread wheat)
Lineage: Eukaryota; Viridiplantae; Streptophyta; Magnoliopsida; Poales; Poaceae
Description: partial small subunit ribosomal RNA
Source: RNAcentral